This 325-nucleotide long non-coding RNA is filed under the name Hordeum vulgare. RNAcentral describes it as "long non-coding RNA (HVUL_LNC017150)". The record is from RNAcentral. Lineage: Eukaryota; Viridiplantae; Streptophyta; Magnoliopsida; Poales; Poaceae.
UUUCGAUUGCUGUCAAAAAGCUUCAGAACAGAGACAGAAACUCAGGUGCAGGAAUUUUCAGUAAGUCCUAGAGAUCUGAUGGUUUUGGGAAGUUUGUUGCCUUGUAUCUUCUAGAGUUCAAUUACUUUUGCUGUGAUUCUUGCUGGUGCCUGUAGUGUUCUUGGUUGGCUUCAGCCACAUAUAUUAUUUGUCAUGUUUGUAGACCUGUAGCUAUGUUGUAUGUAGCUCCCAAAGAGCUAAGAGGCAGAUUAUGGUAGAUUAUGUAGUUUUGCCACUUUGGUCAUUGUGUGAGAUUAGGGGGUGUUGUGGUGUUCUUCCUUGCUCC